GAUGAACGCUGGCGGCGUGCCUAAUACAUGCAAGUCGAACGAAACUUCUUUAUCACCGAGUGCUUGCACUCACCGAUAAAGAGUUGAGUGGCGAACGGGUGAGUAACACGUGGGCAACCUGCCCAAAAGAGGGGGAUAACACUAGGAAACAGGUGCUAAUACCGCAUAACCAUAGUUACCGCAUGGUAACUAUGUAAAAGGUGGCUAUACUACCGCUUUUGGAUGGGCCCGCGGCGCAUUAGCUAGUUGGUAGGGUAAAGGCUUACCAAGGCAAUGAUGCGUAGCCGAAUUGAGAGGUUGAUCGGCCACAUUGGGACUGAGACACGGCCCAAACUCCUACGGGAGGCAGCAGUAGGGAAUCUUCCACAAUGGGCGAAAGCCUGAUGGAGCAACGCCGCGUGGGUGAAGAAGGUCUUCGGAUCGUAAAACCCUGUUGUUAGAGAAGAAAGUGCGUGAGAGUAACUGUUCACGUUUCGACGGUAUCUAACCAGAAAGCCACUGCUAACUACGUG
RNAcentral lists this ribosomal RNA (512 nucleotides) under uncultured bacterium. RNAcentral describes it as "partial 16S ribosomal RNA". It matches the Rfam family "Bacterial small subunit ribosomal RNA", at positions 28 to 507 of the family's 1533-position model. The record is from RNAcentral.